CCGUGUUCAGGCCGCUGAGCUGCCGCUCUGAAACGAGCUGUUUGACGGUGAAUUUACGGAGUUACAAGAUGAAACAACCCAGCUGUAAACAUGUAAAAUAAUGUUAAUAAACUACGGUUGUUUUUGACUUAUUAACGGAAUACCAACGAGCUGCCGCGGUCGGACAAACUGAACGUUUUAAACUGGAGGAUGGAGGAGCAGAGACGGCCUGCUCUUCGGUUUGAACGGAUGGACGGAUGCAUGAUGGGAAGCGACGGCGGCCUGUACAGCAGAGAGGUUGAGGAGAGACCAAACGCACAGAAGACAAGCAGCUUCAGAUCGUCUCUCUGCGGAGAACUCCCGACCCCCCACUGCGCCUCCAGCACCUCCAG
Molecule: RNA transcript, 371 nt
Organism: Plectropomus leopardus (leopard coralgrouper)
Lineage: Eukaryota; Metazoa; Chordata; Actinopteri; Perciformes; Serranidae
Source: RefSeq, a predicted model, not a curated record